AAAUAUAAAUUUAUUUUUAAAAAAAAAUUAAGUUUAAGUUAAUAGAAAUAAAUAAUUUUAUAUUAAUUAAAUGAAAAAAAAUAAUUUAUGAUAGUUUAAAGUAUUGUUAAAGAAAAUUGAAAUAAUGAAAAUUUUUUUAUAAAAAAGAAAAAUUAUUUUUUUGUACCUUUUGCAUCAGGGUAAAUUAAAUAUAUUUAUUAAUUAAUAAAAUUCUCGAAUUAAAAAGAGCUAAGAAUUAAUAAAUUUUAUUAUAAAAAUACUAUUUAAAAUUAAUUUUUUGUAAUGAAACGUUAAGCGUUUUUUAAUAUAUCUAGUUUUUAAAGAUAAAAUUUAAUUUUAUUAAAAAAUUUUAUUUAUAUUAAUUUAAAUUUAGAUAAAUUUUUUAUUUUAUAAAUUAAGGGAUAAGCUUUAAUUUAUAUUAGAAAAAAUAAAUUUAAAAAUAAUUAAUAGGAUUAAAAUUUUCUUUUUUAAAGUAUGUUAUAAUUUAUUAUUUAAUUUUUUUUUUUUUAUAUUUUUAAUUUUAUUAUUUAAAUAUUAAAUUUAUUUUCAAAAUUUAAUUAAUAAUGAUUUAAUGAGUAUAAAAUUAUUUAUUUUAAGAAUUUAAUUUUAGGUUAGGUUAAGGAAUUCGGCAAAAUAAAAUUUUUUACCUGUUUAUUAAAAACAUGUCUUUUUGAAUUUAAUUUAAGGUUUAACCUGCUCAAUGAAAAUUUAAAUAGCUGCGGUAUUUUGACCGUACAAAGGUAGCAUAAUCAAUAGUUUUUUAAUUAAAAACUGGAAUGAAAGGUUGGAUAAGAAAAUUUCUGUCUCAAUUUAAAUUUAUUAGAAAUUUAUUUUUAAGUUAAAAAGCUUAAAUAUAAUUUAAUGACGAGAAGACCCUAUAGAGUUUAAUUAAAUUAAAAAUAAAAUUAUUUUAGAAUUUAAAAAAUUUAAUUUUUAAUAAAUUUGAUUGGGGUGAUUAAAAAAUUAAAUAAACUUUUUUUUAUUUAUUCAAAUAUAUUUGUUUUUAUGAUCCAUAUAAAUGAUUAAAAGAAUAAAUUACCUUAGGGAUAACAGCGUAAUUUUUUUAAAGAGUUCAAAUCGAAAAAAAAGAUUGCGACCUCGAUGUUGGAUUAAAGUAAAAAUAAGGUGUAGAAACUUUAUAUUUAGGUCUGUUCGACCUUUAAAACUUUACAUGAUCUGAGUUUAAACCGGUGUAAGCCAGGUUGGUUUCUAUCUUAAAUAGAAAAUAUUUUUUAGUACGAAAGGACCAAAAAUAUAAUUAAAAAUUUUAUUUUUGAAAUUAAAU
RNAcentral lists this ribosomal RNA (1285 nucleotides) under Curculionoidea sp. 10 KM-2017. Its description in RNAcentral is "16S ribosomal RNA". The stretch from base 1046 to 1204 matches the Rfam family "Archaeal large subunit ribosomal RNA", at positions 2544 to 2703 of the family's 2987-position model. The record is from RNAcentral. Lineage: Eukaryota; Metazoa; Arthropoda; Insecta; Coleoptera.